Molecule: long non-coding RNA, 2006 nt
Organism: Drosophila albomicans
Lineage: Eukaryota; Metazoa; Arthropoda; Insecta; Diptera; Drosophilidae
Exons: 5
Source: RefSeq, a predicted model, not a curated record
CGGCGAUUCAGUCAAGCUCCAGCAUCCGUUCAAGCAGGGAGCACAUUGCACGCGUUUCGUUCCCAUCGAGAGAGAGACACACACACAUAUGUAUACUUAGCGCGUCGACUGACUCUGUGUGUGUCUGUGUUUUCCCCUUUAAUUGUACGUCUUCAUACGCGCGCGUGUCUCUGUGUGUGUGUGUGUGUACGUGCGUGCGUGUGCGUGCGAAGCGUGGCGUGAGUGUUCAUUGGUGUGUGUAAAUUUUUGGGCAAAAGCGAAAGAAAGCAAACAGAAACACAGAGCCCCAGUGACAGGUUCAGGUUACGCGAACGCCUUGCGAACCGGUUAAACUUAAAGUUAUUCCUGCAAACUCCUUUUCGAGCUGCCGUAGGACAUCGCAAAACUUUACGCUUAACUCGCGUAAACAAAAUUAAACGUGCAAAGAAUUUCGGUCAAAGUAACGUAACGUCGAAAGAAUAAAGCUUAAACUCAACACUUGCUACACAAAAAUGUCUACAGUAGCAAGCAGCAACAGAAAAUCAACGAAAUUGUCGUCACUCUAAUCAAGUGGAAAUUUGAUUAAAGAAGAGAAAAGCGAAUUUAAUAAAUUUGAAAAACUCAAUAGCCGAAAAACGAACGGCAGGAAAGAGAGAAAGAAAAGCUGCUGCUCUACACAAAAAAACGAAAACGAAGAAGAAAAAUUAAGUGCGAGUAUAUCAAAAGGUAACAGCAAAGGAAAUCAACACGCACGCACAUGAGCGAACCUGUUGUAUGUUGUAGUUGCUGCUGCUUUUGCAACGAAAACGUAGCAAACAUUAAAAGUCAGCGAAGUGUGAAACUCCAAAACGAGAGGAGAAAAGCGAAAAAGGUUUGCCAAAACGAAUACAAAACAAGACAGAGCUGAACAUAAACCAAUAAUAAUACUCCGACGCAUUAUAUAAAAGGAGUAACGAAGUGAAUAAAAUGCUUAAAACCCCGAAAUAGAAACCACAAAACGAAGUAACUAAAAUUACACUCUACGAUUAUUAUUUAGUACAAAAACUAAAGCAACAACUGAUUGCAGCUGACGAGAACUUGCCACACGGGGCAAGGACAUUCCAUACAUACUUCUGGGUGCUGUGCUUGCUUCGACCAAAGCACGAAAUUAAGUGCAGAUUAUCAGAAGAUUAUAUUUUAAUAGCAUUUCAAGCUGUUGCCUUUCACGGCGAACACAAUCCACAGAAGAAGGACAGCGACAGGACUUCAACACGGCAAACGGAAACGGACACCGAAAAAAAAAAAUAACUGAAAGGGAGACUACAAUAGCGCAACAAAAAUACAUUAUAACCAUGUGCUAGUGUCCAAGUGUGUGUGUGUGUGUGAGUGAGUUUCCACAAGUGCGGCUUAUUACACAGGCCUCCGACCAUUCGAGGAAUUUUUUGUUGGCCAGCAACUAAAGCGAAACAUAAACGCGUUUAGAAAUUAAAAUAAAGCAAGCAAACGUUGUGUGUGCUGUGUGUUGUGCUGUGUAUCUUAGGCAAGUGUUGUAACUGUGUGUGCUUGUGUAAAAGCAUAAUAUAUAAUUAAAACAUUAAGCAUACGUCGUGUGGCCGAAAGAGGAGAAAAGGCAACAGUUUUUGCCUGGACUGAACUGAACCAACUUGAUCUGUGAGCUGAGUUGAGCUGAAGAACUGGAGCGUGAGCGUGGCUCCCAAACUGAAUACUUAACAGCUCGUGCAUUUGGCUACUUUCUUGAACGGCGAAGGUUGUUAGACAAACGAAGACAGGUGGCACGGAAGCGACAAGUUAUUAGGACAAAAGCAGCAACCAAACGAGAAAAGCCGACUCUAUUAACAGAGCAAAGAGGCAACACCAAAAACAACACGAAAACAAAAAAAGCAAAGAGGAAUAGGGAAAUGCUAAAGCGAGUAACUCAAGUGGGAGGCAAAUCGAAUCGUUAAGCGGCUGCCAAUGAGACGGCAGCAAGGAGCUGUAACUGGCACUUGACUGGGCCACAACAAACACACACAGAUCCACACACAACU